AUUUAAGUAGCUUAUAUUUUAGAGCAUGGUUUUGAAGCAGCUAGGGAAAUUGUUAAUAAUUCUUAAAUA
Molecule: transfer RNA, 69 nt
Filed under: Phaenopsectra flavipes
Lineage: Eukaryota; Metazoa; Arthropoda; Insecta; Diptera; Chironomidae
Description: tRNA-Phe
Source: RNAcentral